GAUGAACGCUGGCGGCGUGCCUAAUACAUGCAAGUCGAGCGAACAGACGAGGAGCUUGCUCCUCUGACGUUAGCGGCGGACGGGUGAGUAACACGUGGAUAACCUACCUACAAGACUGGGAUAACUUCGGGAAACCGGAGCUAAUACCGGAUAAUAUAUUGAACCGCAUGGUUCAAUAGUGAAAGACGGUUUUGCUGUCACUUAUAGAUGGAUCCGCGCCGCAUUAGCUAGUUGGUAAGGUAACGGCUUACCAAGGCAACGAUGCGUAGCCGACCUGAGAGGGUGAUCGGCCACCCUGGAACUGAGACACGGUCGAGACUCCUACGGUAGGAAGCAGUAGGGAAUCUUCCGCGAUGGGGGAGAGCCUGACGGAGCAACGCGGCGGGAGUGAUGAAGGUCUUCGGAUCGUAAAACGCUGUUAUUAGUGGAGAACAAAUGUGUAAGUAACUAUGCACGUCUUGACGGUACCUGAUCAGAAAGCCACGGCUAACUACGUG
RNAcentral lists this ribosomal RNA (497 nucleotides) under uncultured bacterium. Its description in RNAcentral is "partial 16S ribosomal RNA". It matches the Rfam family "Bacterial small subunit ribosomal RNA", at positions 28 to 507 of the family's 1533-position model. The record is from RNAcentral.